This 70-nucleotide transfer RNA is filed under the name Siphonops annulatus. Its description in RNAcentral is "tRNA-Ser". It matches the Rfam family "tRNA". From Rfam's summary of the family: Transfer RNA (tRNA) molecules are approximately 80 nucleotides in length. Their secondary structure includes four short double-helical elements and three loops (D, anti-codon, and T loops). Lineage: Eukaryota; Metazoa; Chordata; Amphibia; Gymnophiona; Siphonopidae. The record is from RNAcentral.
AAAAAGGUAAUAGAUGGGAAUAUGGUUGACUUGAAAUCAAUUAAUGUAGGUUCGACUCCUAUCCUUUUUG